This 303-nucleotide ribosomal RNA is filed under the name Triticum aestivum (bread wheat). RNAcentral's name for it is "partial small subunit ribosomal RNA". The record is from RNAcentral. Lineage: Eukaryota; Viridiplantae; Streptophyta; Magnoliopsida; Poales; Poaceae.
AUGUUAACGGAAGAAGAGUUCGAAUCAGCUUGGGCAGCGCUGCUGGAUAAGUACAACUUGAGGAGUCACGCCUACAUGACACAAAUAUAUGAAACCCGGAGGAAAUGGGCCAAGCCAUAUUUCAGGCGUGUGUUUUGCGCAAAGAUGGCAAGCACCCAGCGCAGUGAGAGCGCAAACCACAUGCUGAAGUCAUACAUGCCCCCUGCAAGCCCAAUGCAUGUCUUUGUCAGGCAGUAUAUGAGGCUGCAAUUUGACAGAGAGCGCGAUGAAAGCUACAAGGAGAAGAGGACCAUGAUAGAUUAG